CGGGGUGCAGCAGGCGCGAAAACUUUGCAAUACACGAAAGUGUGACAGGGCUAUCCCGAGUGCCAUCCGCUGAGGAAGGCUUUUACCCAGUCUAGAAAGCUGGGGGAAUAAGGAGAGGGCAAGUCUGGUGUCAGCCGCCGCGGUAAUACCAGCUCUCCGAGUGGUGUGGAUGUUUAUUGGGCCUAAAGCAUCCGUAGCUGGCUAAGUUAGUCCCUUGUUAAAUCCACCGAAUUAAUCGUUGGAUCGCGGGGGAUACUGCUUGGCUAGGGGACGAGAGAGGCAGACGGUAUUUUCGGGGUAGGGGUGAAAUCCUAUAAUCCCGGGAAGACCACCAGUGGCGAAGGCUGUCUGCUAGAACGCGCCCGACGGUGAGGGAUGAAAGCUGGGGGAGCGAACCGGAUUAGAUACCCGGGUAGUCCCAGCUGUAAACGAUGCAGGCUAGGUGUUUGGACGGCCACGUGCCGUUCUAGUGCCGCAGGGAAGCUGUUAAGCCUGCCGCCUGGGGAGUACGAUCGCAAGAUUGAAACUUAAAGGAAUUGGCGGGGGAGCAC
RNAcentral lists this ribosomal RNA (551 nucleotides) under uncultured archaeon. RNAcentral describes it as "bacterial SSU rRNA". It matches the Rfam family "Archaeal small subunit ribosomal RNA", at positions 326 to 879 of the family's 1478-position model. The record is from RNAcentral.